RNAcentral lists this ribosomal RNA (422 nucleotides) under Truncatoflabellum australiensis. RNAcentral describes it as "partial 16S ribosomal RNA". It matches the Rfam family "Bacterial large subunit ribosomal RNA", at positions 2003 to 2454 of the family's 2925-position model. The record is from RNAcentral. Lineage: Eukaryota; Metazoa; Cnidaria; Anthozoa; Scleractinia; Flabellidae. RNAcentral also lists the same sequence under 1 other name.
CACGAGGGUCUCACUGUCUUAAGGAAAUUUCCAGUGAAAUUGAAUUUGUAGUGAAGAUGCUACAUCCAAAUUGUUAGACAAGAAGUCCCCAUGGAACUUUACUGGAGACUUAUGUGGCUAAAAUUAAUUUAUUUCUUAUAAAUAAAUGGUUUUAAAAUGUGGUGUUAACCCCUCGGAUUGACUAGGGUUAUAAAAGAUCACUCUUUUAUUUAAAGAAAGCCAACUCAAAAAUUUAUGUCUUUGGGACUUAAUAAGUGGGACAGUUUGGUUGGGGCGACCGCCUUUAAAAAAGUAACGAAGGCGGGCUUAAGAUACAUAUUUAGUGAUGUCUGACUGCCAAGGGGAGAUCCUGAGCAGACACUUACUUUUUAGGUGGGUUUAAGUGACCCGUUAAUUUAGGGUGAAAUAGUUAACGAUAAACA